RNAcentral lists this ribosomal RNA (301 nucleotides) under uncultured bacterium. Its description in RNAcentral is "partial 16S ribosomal RNA". It matches the Rfam family "Bacterial small subunit ribosomal RNA", at positions 509 to 807 of the family's 1533-position model. The record is from RNAcentral.
CAGUAGCCGCGGUAAUACAGAGGGUGCGAGCGUUAAUCGGAUUUACUGGGCGUAAAGCGUGCGUAGGCGGCUUUUUAAGUCGGAUGUGAAAUCCCUGAGCUUAACUUAGGAAUUGCAUUCGAUACUGGGAAGCUAGAGUAUGGGAGAGGAUGGUAGAAUUCCAGGUGUAGCGGUGAAAUGCGUAGAGAUCUGGAGGAAUACCGGUGGCGAAGGCGGCCCCCUGGACAAAGACUGACGCUCAGGUGCGAAAGCGUGGGGAGCAAACAGGAUUAGAUACCCGAGUAGUCCCUGUCUCUUAUAC